Molecule: transfer RNA, 80 nt
Filed under: Plicaturopsis crispa FD-325 SS-3
Lineage: Eukaryota; Fungi; Basidiomycota; Agaricomycetes; Amylocorticiales; Amylocorticiaceae
Description: tRNA-Leu (CAG) (tRNA-Leu-CAG-1-1)
Rfam family: tRNA
About the family: Transfer RNA (tRNA) molecules are approximately 80 nucleotides in length. Their secondary structure includes four short double-helical elements and three loops (D, anti-codon, and T loops). Further hydrogen bonds mediate the characteristic L-shaped molecular structure. tRNAs have two regions of fundamental functional importance: the anti-codon, which is responsible for specific mRNA codon recognition, and the 3' end, to which the tRNAs corresponding amino acid is attached (by aminoacyl-tRNA synthetases). tRNAs cope with the degeneracy of the genetic code in two manners: having more than one tRNA (with a specific anti-codon) for a particular amino acid; and 'wobble' base-pairing, i.e. permitting non-standard base-pairing at the 3rd anti-codon position.
Source: Rfam by way of RNAcentral
GGCAACAUGGCCGAGCGGUCUAAGGCGCUAGAUCCAGGUUCUAGUCAGAAAUGGCGUGGGUUCGAAUCCCACUGUUGUCA